GAUGAACGCUGGCGGCGUGCCUAAUACAUGCAAGUCGAGCGAACGGACGAGAAGCUUGCUUCUCUGAUGUUAGCGGCGGACGGGUGAGUAACACGUGGAUAACCUACCUAUAAGACUGGGAUAACUUCGGGAAACCGUAGCUAAUACCGGAUAAUAUUUUGAACCGCAUGGUUCAAAAGUGAAAGACGGUCUUGCUGUCACUUCUAGAUGGAUCCGCGCUGCAUUAGCUAGUUGGUAAGGUAACGGCUUACCAAGGCAACGAUGCAUAGCCGACCUGUGAGGCGGAUCGGCCACCUUGGAACUGGACCACGGUCCAUGGUCCUACGGGAGGGAGCAGUAGGGUAUGUGCCGCAGUGGGCGGAAGCCUGACGGAGCAGCGCCGCGCGAGUGAUGAAGGUCUUCGGAGCGUAAAACUCUGUUAUUAGGUAAGAACAUAUGUGUAAGUAACUGUGCACAUCUUGACGGUACCUAAUCAGAAAGCCACGGCUAACUACGUG
Molecule: ribosomal RNA, 497 nt
Filed under: uncultured bacterium
Lineage: Bacteria
Description: partial 16S ribosomal RNA
Rfam family: Bacterial small subunit ribosomal RNA
Source: RNAcentral